This is a long non-coding RNA of Bos indicus x Bos taurus (hybrid cattle), 831 nucleotides long. NCBI's taxonomy places the organism in Eukaryota, Metazoa, Chordata, Mammalia, Artiodactyla, Bovidae. The record is from Ensembl.
GGGAACGGCUGGCUACCCACUCUAGUAUUCUCGCCUGGAGAAUUCCAUGGACAGAAGAGACUGGCUGACUACACUCCAUGGGGUUGCAAAGAGUCGGACACGACUGAUUGACUGAACAGCAACAACAGUCUUGAUUGACUAGAGUCUCUGAAACUAAGAGUCAUCUUGAUUUUACUUAAUUGAUGCUGUACUGAUAUAUUGGGCAAAAAUAGUCAAUUUUAACAAAUAAAUCUUAACCGAAUCAGAUUGGGUGCCUUUCAAUUAUAUGGGAUAUUUAUUAUUGUGGGAAAGAUGAUUUGAUUGAAAAAUAUAGUUGAUGUGUUCCAGGUCAUCCGUAUGAGAUUGGAAGUAAAGGAGUGUAAACGCAUGGGCCCAUGAUGAAAUGGCAGACCAGAAGUUGAGAAGUAGCAAAUACGAAGUGACAACUACAUUACUGUACAUGGAGUUAUUUACAGACCGAGAUGAUUGGUUUCCUAAUGAUCAUUUCAUAAGGUAAUUUUCUUGGGAUGCAAACUCUGGCCCCCUUGGUUUGCCCUGUCCACGUUUUGCAUUAUGUGUUCUCGGAAUCUUGUAAGACAUCCCAGGUAGAGCUAUAGCCCAUUUGAGUUUGGCAGAUAGCAGUUUUUGAAAUUCGGGGAUUUCCUUUGUGACUUGGGGAGAAAAGCUAAAGAUUUGGACCUGGGGCUUACCACUCAAACAUCUUAAAAGUAGAAGCCACAGGAUACAGUGAAGCUAUCAGAAUAUCCAUUGCCCAAAAACCAAGGACUACAUUGACUCCCAGUUCCAGGACAAGCUCGUAUUCAGCUGUGAAAUAUUUAAGCCGGUUUCUCC